Molecule: long non-coding RNA, 1145 nt
Filed under: Macaca mulatta (Rhesus monkey)
Lineage: Eukaryota; Metazoa; Chordata; Mammalia; Primates; Cercopithecidae
Description: lncRNA (ENSMMUG00000050050.1)
Source: RNAcentral
GUCGCAAAUUGAGAAGAGGGCUGCUGGGUUGGGCCCCCCUCCUCUGGACACUAACCCCACCCAGGUAAACAGGGACCCGGCCCAGGUUCCUGCUGGGUGCCGAGGCAGCGGAAUCAGCAGGAAGCCCUGGAGACUGCCCGGAAACGUGCUGGAGGCCUGGAUGUGAUUCCACUGCCACCAUCCCCUUUACCCCGGCUUCAAAGCCUCCUGGAGUGCGCUUGGUUUUUCCCAGGUUUUUCUUUUCUCACAGUGGUGAAACAGGAAGCAACAUCCCAUCAGGAAGAACCUGAGGUGCCAUCCAGUAGCUUCGCCUCACGUCACUGACUGCCCUCAGUCAGAAAUCUCGACUUGCAACUUUGGAGGGUGGGUCUCUGAAGGAAUUUCAGGGCUUACGCAGAGAUGAGGUGUGUUGCUCUCUGAGGAGAACGAAGCUGGCUGGAAUGCUGGAAGCUGCUCUCUGACUACACUUUACAAGCAAGGGGCACCUUUUGUGGACUGACAUUUCAGAAAGGUAGGCACCAUCUCAUUGACGUAGUUAGAAUUUGACGACUUUCAAAACCAAGGUGGCCGUGAUUCCCUGUGUGAGCUUGUGGGUGUAUGUGUGCCUGGGUGCGUGACAGAGAGAGGGAGAGGAGACAGAGAGUGGGGGAGAGGCAGCUAAAUGAAGUCUGAUGUUUGGGAGAAAUACAGAAAAGACAGACUUGGGGCCCUUUGCUUUGUAGAGUUUUGCUUGUAAGUGUUUAGUAGUGGAGGGUAAAUGUUGAGUCCAAACUUCCACUCCUGACCUGCAUUGCUCUCGGGCGAGUUUAAACUGAUUCAUUGAGGGUUAGGAAGAAUGGUUUGGGCAAUGAAAUCACAUGCGCUGAAUACUCGGCAUAGCUUGGUUUAUUAGGAAAGCCCUGACUCCAGGCGGAAUGAAAGGGGUCACCACAGAUCUUUGCCAGGUGGCAUGGCAAAGGCCAUUUCAGACCGUCUCAGAGUGCCUUAAACUGAGAACAAGGUGGGACUUGCUCACCCCUAGUGGCAAGCCUUCCUAAGCUGCUGCUGUCCUGAGAGAUAUAGUGCUCAAUGUCAUGCCAGGAGAAAUUAGCUGUUUAGUUCUAAGGCUGCCAGUCUCAUGCAAAAGAAAUGAAACAAAAUCAAAC